UAAGUGCACAUGGUGGAUGCCUUGGCGAUUACAGGCGAUGAAGGACGUAGUAGCUUGCGAUAAGCUGCGGGGAGUGAGCAAACACACUUUGAUCCGCAGAUUUCCGAAUGGGGAAACCCCUCCUUUAUGGAGAUCGUGGUCUGAAUUCAUAGGACUACGAGGCGAACCCGGGGAACUGAAACAUCUCAGUACCCGGAGGAAAGGAAAUCAACCGAGACUCCCCGAGUAGUGGCGAGCGAAAGGGGAACAGCCUAAACCC
Molecule: ribosomal RNA, 259 nt
Filed under: Chloropicon mariensis
Lineage: Eukaryota; Viridiplantae; Chlorophyta; Chloropicophyceae; Chloropicales; Chloropicaceae
Description: partial Bacterial large subunit ribosomal RNA
Rfam family: Bacterial large subunit ribosomal RNA
Source: RNAcentral